This is a non-coding RNA of Coffea arabica (coffee), 3087 nucleotides long. The record is from RefSeq and is a predicted model, not a curated record. NCBI's taxonomy places the organism in Eukaryota, Viridiplantae, Streptophyta, Magnoliopsida, Gentianales, Rubiaceae.
AAGGGCGAACCAACCACUUCUUCAGUGUGUGUGUGGGAAAGCUCUCAGCUUUCCACUGCCAAAUUACUCGGCACUUUCUCGCUUUCUCUUUUGAUCUCUUGCUAUAAUUCAACGUCUCAAGUCUCAGAAGUCUUCGCCAAUGAAGAAGUUAUCAUCAAUUUCUGAUUCUCUACAUCUCUUUUUUAAUAAUAUUCUUGGUACUAUUUCUGUAAUCCCAACAACUUUCUUUUUAAUAACUUUCUUCCUUAAUUGCCCAUGCAAAGCCCUUUGUACACAAGGCCACCACAACAUCUACUUUUCGUUAUCAUCAGUUGUUUCAUUCAUUGCUAAUCAUCUUUCUUACAUGACCGUCCUGCUUCUCUUUGUGUGAUCUUUUUUCGGGGGAAAGCUCAUUUCUUUUUUCUUCUCUCUUUCUUGAAACAAGAAAGUUUCUUUUCUUCUGUGACCCGCUGAUUGAUCCCCAGAAUUUAAUUUUUUCUGGGUUUUUUUUAAAGCCCCUGAAUUUUUUAUUGUUUGGGGCUUUUGGGUGCUGGGAUUUAUUUGAAAUUGUGUGGUAAUUGGGGUGAUAUGGGGCCUCCGAGUCAAGGUGAAAAUAGUAGGGAGAGUUCUAGUGGAAAGAAGAGGUUAAGUGGGGAAAGUGAUGGGGGAGAUUGGACGGGGAAGAAAGUUAGGAUCUUUGAUGGGAUUGAUGGAAAUCUGGAGGUUUUUCAUGGGAUUGAUACUGAGGAGGAGGAAAGAAAUGAGAAUCAGGCAAUGGGUUCUGGGGAAGAAAGGGGAGUUUCUUGCACUGAUGAAUUGUGUGGCUUUGAUCUUAACGUGGCGUUGAUCGAUUCAGAGGAUGAUGAAUUUGUACCUGAAGCUGUAAAUAGGAAGGUUGACAUUAUUUGCAUUCCAUCUGAUGAUAGUGAGGAUGAGGAGGGAAUAGGGAUUGUUGCACAUGACGUCAAAGGAAAGGGGAAGCUCAUUGUGGAAGAAACUAAUAAUGAGCUUCUUGAGAAUAUUGAUUUUGGAUUGGGACUAAUGGACAGGAGUUAUGAUGGAAAUAGUUAUGUGAGUGAUGGGCGGAGAUACACCAGGGAAGAGAAAGGGAAAGCUAAAAUUGUUGAUUCUUGGUUGUCACUUGCAACUAAUCCAACUCAGUUGGAGUUACAAACAAGAAGCCAGGAUUCAAUACAGUUUGAAUAUCAACCAGGAAGCCAGGAUUUGAAAAGGUUUAACCACCCAAGUGAGAAUGGUUACCAAGUGGAAGGCUCAGAGUCGAGCUCAGAAUUCGCGCGUAGAAAACAUGCAGAAUAUGAUAUUGAGAUGCAGAUACUGAGACACGGUGAACUCCGGAGAAAUGCUCAUAAAUUUGCACGGUGGGCGGAGAAUGGAGAUGUAUCUUCUAGUCAGGAAAAGCCUUCACUUGAAGAUCUACUGGGAAAAUCUCCUGGUCCUUUUUCUACCGCUCUGAUGAUGGUUAGAGACCGAACGUCCUGGCGAUCCAGGCAACUUAUUGAUUGGAAACCAUCUGACAAUGGCUGCAAUUCAUUUAGACCCGUUGUUCCUUCACUUCUGGAUCUUUCCCUGAAAGCUCUUGCAGCAAAAGCUGAGGCUAUAGUUUCACUUGAACUUGUUCCCGAUUUCCUCAGGCGAAAGCUCGCUGACUGUAUCUGUAAUCUCCGGAAAAUGGAUGUUCACACUUUUGAACUCUUUGUUAAAGGAUCUCCAACGGAGAUACGUAUAAAGGACUGUUCAUGGCUAACAGAUUGCCAUUUUUCAGAGGCAUUUGGAAAUUUUGAUGCUAAAAAUUUGAAGGUACUUGAACUUGAAUUAUGUGGGCAAUGUCCAUUUACUUUGGCUGGCUUGAGGUUCCCCAAACUAGGUGUCUUAUCAUUAAAGGGUGCAUGUCGUCUAUCCAACGAUGGGCUACAAGCAUUUGUCAACUCUGCACCUGAAUUAGAGUCUAUAAAUUUGAGCCACUGCUCCCUUCUUACCAAUGUUGGCAUCAAUUUCUUGGCCAAUUCUUUGGGAUCCAAGUUGAGGGAGCUGUAUAUUGAUGAGUGCCCGAAAAUAGAUGCAAUGCUUAUCCUACCUGCAUUGAGGAAGUUUGCAUACUUGGAGGUCUUGUCUGUUGCUGGAAUUCACACUGUGUCUGACCAAUUUGUUGACGCCGUAGUUAACACAUGUGGGCAAACUCUAAAGGAGCUUGAUUUGUCCAAUUGUCUGGGCUUGACCAAUGGUUCCCUCAGAGCCAUUGGAGAUACCUGUAGUGGUUUACAUUCAUUAAACAUUUCAAACCUAGAUAAACUGACAGAUCUUGCAUUACAAUUCCUUGCUGAUGGUUGUCAGCACAUUCAAACACUUAAACUUUGCCGCAACAAAUUCAGCGAUGAAGCAAUUGCGGCAUUCUUGGAAGCUUCUGGAGAGUCUUUGAAGGAACUAUGUCUCAAUAGUGUUACUUCGUUUCAGGGCAUAUUCUUGUGUAUAUUUCCCAAAGCAACAUGUUGGACAAUAAAAUGGGGAGAGACAACACUUGCUUAGGACUGCUGGAUUCUAGUCAUUACAUAUUACUGAAGUGUUAUUGAUUUACCACUGAAAGACAAAAGUUGAUUAGCAAUAUGCAUUCUGUAGAGUUGAUUAAGGUGCUGCUUUACAUGGUCCAUUGAUAGAAAUGAAAUACAAAAAUGUGGGAAUUACACUGUGCUGUCAAGUGAAUAUGUUAUUUUAGGUUUUUUGGAAACACGCAAUUCGUGUUAGUAGAGAAAGUUCUCUUUUCUUGAUUUUACUUUUUGUUUGUUUACCUUUUUUCUCGGCCUAUUGUCUUUAGUUAAAACAACUGAGCCAUGAUGCUUGGUAGGUUGGCCCUUGCACUGCCUUUUCGCUCGCCAAAUGUUCAAGAAAGUUGUUGGUAUUGGAUUUGUCAUGGUGUCGCAAAUUAACGGAUAAGGCACUGGGAUUGAUUGUUGACAGCUGCCUGUCACUGAAGUUGGUCAAACUCUUUGGUUGUACACAGAUCACAAAAUCUUUUGUAAAUGGGCACUCAAACACACAAGUGCAGAUUAUCGGGUUGCAGUUGACACCAAUACUGGAAAAUGCAACUGUUUG